RNAcentral lists this ribosomal RNA (807 nucleotides) under uncultured archaeon. RNAcentral's name for it is "bacterial SSU rRNA". It matches the Rfam family "Archaeal small subunit ribosomal RNA", at positions 86 to 895 of the family's 1478-position model. The record is from RNAcentral.
CUGCUCAGUAACACGUAGUUAACCUAACCUAUGGACGGGGAUAACCUCGGGAAACUGAGAAUAAUCCCCGAUAGAUCACGGUGCCUGGAAUGGCCCGUGGUCCAAAUGAUUUAUCGCCGUAGGAUGGGACUGCGGCCUAUCAGCUAGUUGGUGAGGUAAUGGCCCACCAAGGCUAUAACAGGUACGGGCUCUGAGAGGAGGGGCCCGGAGAUGGGUACUGAGACACGGACCCAGGCCCUAUGGGGCGCAGCAGGCGAGAAACCUUUGCAAUGUGCGAAAGCACGACAAGGUUAAUCCGAGUGUCUCCUGCUAAAGGAGUCUUUUGCCGGUCAUAGAACCACCGGUGAAUAAGGGGUGGGCAAGUUCUGGUGUCAGCCGCCGCGGUAAAACCAGCACCUCGAGUGGUCAGGAGGUUUAUCGGGCCUAAAGCAUCCGUAGCCGGCUGCUCAAGUUUUCGGUUAAAUCUAUGCGCUCAACGUAUAGGCCGCCGAAGAUACUGGGCAGCUAGGGAGUGGGAGAGGUACACGGUACUCAAUAGGAAGGGGUAAAAUCCUUUGAUCUAUUGAUGACCACCUGUGGCGAAGGCGGUGUACCAGAACACGUUCGACGGUGAGGGAUGAAAGCUGGGGGAGCAAACCGGAUUAGAUACCCGGGUAGUCCCAGCUGUAAACGAUGCAGACUCGGUGAUGCAUUGGCUUGUGGCCAAUGCAGUGCCGCAGGGAAGCCGUUAAGUCUGCCGCCUGGGGAGUACGUACGCAAGUAUGAAACUUAAAGGAAUUGGCGGGGAGCACCACAAGGGGUGAAGCC